AUUGAACGCUGGCGGCGUGCCUAACACAUGCAAGUCGAGCGGUAACAGGCGUAGCAAUACGUGCUGACGAGCGGCGGACGGGUGAGUAACGCUUGGGAAUCUACCCAGUAGUGGGGAAUAACUAGCCGAAAGGUUAGCUAAUACCGCAUACGUCUUUCCUCCACAUCGGAGGAAAGGGAAAGCAGGGGGACCGAAAGGCCUUGCGCUGUUGGAUGAGCCCAAGUCGGAUUAGCUAGUUGGCGGGGUAACGGCCCACCAAGGCGACGAUCCGUAGCUGGUCUGAGAGGACGACCAGCCACACUGGGACUGAGACACGGCCCAGACUCCUACGGGAGGCAGCAGUGGGGAAUAUUGGACAAUGGGGGAAACCCGUGAUCCAGCGACGCCGCGUGUGUGGAGAAGGCCUGCGGGUUGUAAAGCACUUUUAGUGGGGACGAAAAGCUUCAGGCUAAUAUCCUGGGGUCUUGACUUAACCAAAGAAAAAGCACCGGCUAACUCUGUGCCAGCAGCCGCGGUAAUACAGAGGGUGCGAGCGUUAAUCGGAAUUACUGGGCGUAAAGCGCGCGUAGGCGGUUUUGUAAGUCGGGUGUGAAAGCCCCGGGCUGCAACCU
RNAcentral lists this ribosomal RNA (611 nucleotides) under uncultured bacterium. RNAcentral's name for it is "bacterial SSU rRNA". It matches the Rfam family "Bacterial small subunit ribosomal RNA", at positions 28 to 615 of the family's 1533-position model. The record is from RNAcentral.